CAAUAGCGUAUAUUAAAGUUGUUGCAGUUAAAACGCUCGUAGUCGGAUUUCGGGGCGGGCCGACCGGUCUGCCGUUGGGUAUGCACUGGCCGGCGCGUCCUUCCUUCCGGAGACCGUGCCUUCUCUUAACUGGGCGGGUUCGGGAGACGGAACGUUUACUUUGAAAAAAUACAGAGUGUUUCUUAGCAGGCAGCUCGCUCUUGCAUAGGUUAGCAUGGGAUAAUUUAAUAGGACUCUGGUGCUAUUUUGUUGGUUUCGAACACCGGAGUAAUGAUUAAAAGGGACGAGUCAGGGCGACUCGUAUUCCGUCGAGAGAGGUGAAAUUACUCAGACCAGCGGAAGACGAACCACUGCGAAAGACAUUUGCCAGGGAUGUUUUUCUACUGAUCAAGAACGAAAGUUAAGGGG
RNAcentral lists this ribosomal RNA (408 nucleotides) under uncultured eukaryote. Its description in RNAcentral is "bacterial SSU rRNA". It matches the Rfam family "Eukaryotic small subunit ribosomal RNA", at positions 592 to 997 of the family's 1831-position model. The record is from RNAcentral.